CGGAAUAGUCGUCGAUGCGCACGGCGGCGACGUCUUUCGCCCGUGCAUUACGGGCGAGCGACCGUCGCCGCGUCGCUUUGGGUCUUUCUCUCUUUUUUUCUUGUGUAUUGUUGCUUCUCCGCGUGCUCUGGCCUUUUGCGUGUGCCCUGGUGUUGUCGGCGGCGCCGGGGAAGGCGCGUCGGCCCCAUGCCUGCUCCGCCGGCCAUAUCUCGCACGCACAACACUCACGCCGUCGGCCAAACCACACACGCAAGACGACGAAAGAGAGAGAGAGACACAAUGGG
Molecule: long non-coding RNA, 284 nt
Filed under: Pandoravirus neocaledonia
Description: hypothetical ncRNA
Source: RNAcentral